This 504-nucleotide long non-coding RNA is filed under the name Bemisia tabaci. Its description in RNAcentral is "lncRNA ENSSSA2NGG003435". The record is from RNAcentral. Lineage: Eukaryota; Metazoa; Arthropoda; Insecta; Hemiptera; Aleyrodidae.
CGGUUCGCGAGGCGUUCCGCGGGCCCUCUCUCCUCCUCCCCCCUCCCCCCCCCCUCGUUGGCGGGGCUAAGCUCGGAGCAGGAAAAGGAGCCGUGCUGGGAGGAUGCAGUGAAUAGAUGGGAGUGAACUCGGACGAGAACUAGGUCACGGGAGUACGCGCGUCGCCCCCCGGCCCCCCGCCCGACCCCCGGAGGGUUGAGACGGGGUUGUCGCUCCGGCCAAGGGUUCAACUUCUCCACGUGAACGCAGCGACCGAAGACUUUCAACGUGAAUGAAGGAGAUCACAAACGCUCAAUCUCCCUUGCAUUCAGAGUUUGCCACAACACAAUCCAACUCUCUGAGCAAGCAUCAUUCUUCAUCACCGAUUUCAACUCUGACCCUUCGGCGCCUGUUUUGAUUCAAUCCUUACACAUCUCAUCGAUCCCAACAGUUUCGACAACUCACUUCUGCAUCUUCCUGGAUUUCAUUAAAAAACCUCAGAGAUGGGGAUCUAAUGGGUGGUAA